CAUGCAGUCGAGCGGUAGCACAGAGAGCUUGCUCUCGGGUGACGAGCGGCGGACGGGUGAGUAAUGUCUGGGAAACUGCCUGAUGGAGGGGGAUAACUACUGGAAACGGUAGCUAAUACCGCAUAAUGUCGCAAGACCAAAGUGGGGGACCUUCGGGCCUCAUGCCAUCAGAUGUGCCCAGAUGGGAUUAGCUAGUAGGUGGGGUAACGGCUCACCUAGGCGACGAUCCCUAGCUGGUCUGAGAGGAUGACCAGCCACACUGGAACUGAGACACGGUCCAGACUCCUACGGGAGGCAGCAGUGGGGAAUAUUGCACAAUGGGCGCAAGCCUGAUGCAGCCAUGCCGCGUGUAUGAAGAAGGCCUUCGGGUUGUAAAGUACUUUCAGCGGGGAGGAAGGCGAUAAGGUUAAUAACCUUGUCGAUUGACGUUACCCGCAGAAGAAGCACCGGCUAACUCCGUGCCAGCAGCCGCGGUAAUACGGAGGGUGCAAGCGUUAAUCGGAAUUACUGGGCGUAAAGCGCACGCAGGCGGUCUGUCAAGUCGGAUGUGAAAUCCCCGGGCUCAACCUGGGAACUGCAUUCGAAACUGGCAGGCUAGAGUCUUGUAGAGGGGGGUAGAAUUCCAGGUGUAGCGGUGAAAUGCGUAGAGAUCUGGAGGAAUACCGGUGGCGAAGGCGGCCCCCUGGACAAAGACUGACGCUCAGGUGCGAAAGCGUGGGGAGCAAACAGGAUUAGAUACCCUGGUAGUCCACGCCGUAAACGAUGUCGAUUUGGAGGUUGUGCCCUUGAGGCGUGGCUUCCGGAGCUAACGCGUUAAAUCGACCGCCUGGGGAGUACGGCCGCAAGGUUAAAUGUCAAAUGAAUUUGACGGGGGCCCGCACAAGCGGUGGAGCAUGUGGUUUAAUUCGAUGCAACGCGAAGAACCUUACCUGGUCUUGACAUCCACAGAACUUAGCAGAGAUGGUUUGGUGCCUUCGGGAACUGUGAGACAGGUGCUGCAUGGCUGUCGUCAGCUCGUGUUGUGAAAUGUUGGGUUAAGUCCCGCAACGAGCGCAACCCUUAUCCUUUGUUGCCAGCGGUCCGGCCGGGAACUCAAAGGAGACUGCCAGUGAUAAACUGGAGGAAGGUGGGGAUGACGUCAAGUCAUCAUGGCCCUUACGACCAGGGCUACACACGUGCUACAAUGGCAUAUACAAAGAGAAGCGACCUCGCGAGAGCAAGCGGACCUCAUAAAGUAUGUCGUAGUCCGGAUUGGAGUCUGCAACUCGACUCCAUGAAGUCGGAAUCGCUAGUAAUCGUAGAUCAGAAUGCUACGGUGAAUACGUUCCCGGGCCUUGUACACACCGCCCGUCACACCAUGGGAGUGGGUUGCAAAAGAAGUAGGUAGCUUAACCUUCGGGAGGGCGCUUACCACUUUGUGAUUCAUGACUGGGGUGAAGU
This 1440-nucleotide ribosomal RNA is filed under the name Klebsiella pneumoniae. Its description in RNAcentral is "bacterial SSU rRNA". It matches the Rfam family "Bacterial small subunit ribosomal RNA". Lineage: Bacteria; Pseudomonadati; Pseudomonadota; Gammaproteobacteria; Enterobacterales; Enterobacteriaceae. The record is from RNAcentral.